GAUUUAGAUGAGCUCAUAGU
RNAcentral lists this non-coding RNA (20 nucleotides) under Rattus norvegicus (Norway rat). Lineage: Eukaryota; Metazoa; Chordata; Mammalia; Rodentia; Muridae. The record is from RNAcentral.